This 449-nucleotide ribosomal RNA is filed under the name uncultured bacterium. Its description in RNAcentral is "SSU rRNA". It matches the Rfam family "Bacterial small subunit ribosomal RNA", at positions 26 to 518 of the family's 1533-position model. The record is from RNAcentral.
AGGAUGAACGCUGGCGGUCUGCUUAACACAUGCAAGUCGAACGGAGUAGCAAUACUUAGUGGCGGACGGGUGAGUAACGCGUGAGAAUCUACCUUCAGGACGGAGACAACAGUUGGAAACGACUGCUAACCCCCGAUGUACUGAAAAGGCAAAUAUUUAUAGCCUGAAGAAGAGCUCGCGUCCGAUUAGCUAGUUGGAGAGGUAAAAGCUCACCAAGGCGACGAUCGGUAGCUGGUCUGAGAGGACGAUCAGCCACACUGGGACUGAGACACGGCCCAGACUCCUACGGGAGGCAGCAGUGGGGAAUUUUCCGCAAUGGGCGAAAGCCUGACGGAGCAAGACCGCGUGGGGGAAGAAGGCUCGUUGGGUUGUAAACCCCUUUUCUCUGGGAAGAACACAAUGACGGUACCAGAGGAAUCAGCAUCGGCUAACUCCGUGCCAGCAGCCGC